This 465-nucleotide ribosomal RNA is filed under the name uncultured bacterium. Its description in RNAcentral is "partial 16S ribosomal RNA". It matches the Rfam family "Bacterial small subunit ribosomal RNA", at positions 28 to 507 of the family's 1533-position model. The record is from RNAcentral.
GACGAACGCUGGCGGCGUGCUUAACACAUGCAAGUCGAACGGAAAGGCCCUGCUUGCAGGGUACUCGAGUGGCGAACGGGUGAGUAACACGUGGGUGAUCUGCCCUGCACUUCGUGAUAAGCCUGGGAAACUGGGUCUAAUACCGGAUAGGAGCCAUUUUUAGUGUGAUGGUUGGAAAGUUUUUUCGGUGUAGGAUGAGCUCGCGGCCUAUCAGCUUGUUGGUGGGGUAAUGGCCUACCAAGGCGGCGACGGGUAGCCGGCCUGAGAGGGUGGACGGCCACAUUGGGACUGAGAUACGGCCCAGACUCCUACGGGAGGCAGCAGUGGGGAAUAUUGCACCAUGGGCGCAAGCCUGAUGCAGCGACGCCGCGUGGGGGAUGACGACCUUCGGGUUGUAAACUCCUUUCGCUAGGGACGAAGCUUUUUGUGACGGUACCUAGAGAAGAAGCACCGGCUAACUACGUG